GACGAACGCUGGCGGCGUGCUUAACACAUGCAAGUCGAACGGAAAGGCCCUGCUUUUGUGGGGUGCUCGGGUGGCGAACGGGUGAGUAACACGUGAGUAACCUGCCCUUGACUUUGGGAUAACUUCAGGAAACUAGGGCUAAUACCGGAUAGGAGCUCCUGCUGCAUGGUGGGGGUUGGAAAGUUUCGGCGGUUGGGGAUGGACUCGCGGCUUGUCAGCUUGUUGGUGGGGUAGUGGCUUACCAAGGCUUUGACGGGUAGCCGGCCUGAGAGGGUGACCGGCAACAUUGGGACUGAGAUACGGCCCAGACGGCUACGGGAGGCAGCAGUGGGGAAUAUUGCACAAUGGGCGGAAGCCUGAUGCAGCAACGCCGCGUGCGGGAUGACGGCCUUCGGGUUGUAAACCGCUUUCGCCUGUGACGAAGCGUGAGUGACGGUAAUGGGUAAAGAAGCACCGGCUAACUACGUG
RNAcentral lists this ribosomal RNA (468 nucleotides) under uncultured bacterium. RNAcentral's name for it is "partial 16S ribosomal RNA". It matches the Rfam family "Bacterial small subunit ribosomal RNA", at positions 28 to 507 of the family's 1533-position model. The record is from RNAcentral.